GCCUUCGUAGUUCAAUGGAUAGAAUACGAGCUUCCGGAGCUUGAGAUAGGGGUUCGACUCCUCUCGAGGGCA
This 72-nucleotide transfer RNA is filed under the name Parcubacteria group bacterium. RNAcentral describes it as "tRNA-Arg". It matches the Rfam family "tRNA". From Rfam's summary of the family: Transfer RNA (tRNA) molecules are approximately 80 nucleotides in length. The record is from RNAcentral. RNAcentral also lists the same sequence under 1 other name.